GAACGCUAGCUACUGGUUACACAUGCAAGUCGAGGGGAAACGGCAUUAAGUGCUUGCACUUUUUGGACGUCGACCGGCGCACGGGUGAGUAACGCGUAUCCAACCUUCCCAUGACUAAGGGAUAACCUGCCGAAAGGCAGACUAAUACCUUAUGGUCUUCACUGACGGCAUCAGAUGUGAAGUAAAGAUUUAUCGGUUAUGGAUGGGGAUGCGUCUGAUUAGCUUGUUGGCGGGGUAACGGCCCACCAAGGCAACGAUCAGUAGGGGUUCUGAGAGGAAGGUCCCCCACAUUGGAACUGAGACACGGUCCAAACUCCUACGGGAGGCAGCAGUGAGGAAUAUUGGUCAAUGGGCGAGAGCCUGAACCAGCCAAGUAGCGUGCAGGAUGACGGCCCUGUGGGUUGUAAACUGCUUUUGUAUGGGGAUAAAGUCAAUCACGUGUGAUUGUUUGCAGGUACCAUACGAAUAAGGACCGGCUAAUUCCGUGCCAGCAGCCGCGGUAAUACGGAAGGUCCGGGCGUUAUCCGGAUUUAUUGGGUUUAAAGGGAGCGUAGGCUGGAGAUUAAGUGUGUUGUGAAAUGUAGACGCUCAACGUCUGACUUGCAGCGCAUACUGGUUUCCUUGAGUACGCACAACGUUGGCGGAAUUCGUCGUGUAGCGGUGAAAUGCUUAGAUAUGACGAAGAACUCCGAUUGCGAAGGCAGCUGACGGGAGCGCAACUGACGCUGAAGCUCGAAGGUGCGGGUAUCGAACAGGAUUAGAUACCCUGGUAGUCCGCACAGUAAACGAUGGAUGCCCGCUGUUGGUACCUGGUAUCAGCGGCUAAGCGAAAGCAUUAAGCAUCCCACCUGGGG
This 854-nucleotide ribosomal RNA is filed under the name uncultured Bacteroidota bacterium. Its description in RNAcentral is "bacterial SSU rRNA". It matches the Rfam family "Bacterial small subunit ribosomal RNA", at positions 31 to 878 of the family's 1533-position model. Lineage: Bacteria; Pseudomonadati; Bacteroidota. The record is from RNAcentral.